UGUUGUUAUAAAGCUCAUAACUGAUAUUAUCCAUUGAAGUAAAUCAAGAAAAUCUAUGGCAACUUUUUUCCAAGAUAUCAUGAACAAAUUUCUAGAUCUGAUUAAAUUCCUUAUUUCUUUUGGUAAAGGAAAUGAUGAGCAUGAACAAUCAAAGUUGGAAAAUGAGGAGGGAGGAGAUUUACUAAGGCCAGAAGGAAAAGCAAGACGUUCAAACACCUCCAGGAAAACGUAAACCUCCUCGUUUUCAGACUGGCAAUGAUAUUUCCUAGAUGUAAAACAAUCAAAUUUGUACAUAUUUGAAUAUUUUGAAGAAUUUUCAAAUGUAAUUUAAUUGACGAGUGAAGUUUGUUUAAUUAGUGGUAAGUACCACUACUAUCAUCAGGUAGAUUGAAUGUUCGUGUCACGAGAAAGAUAGGUGAAAAUAGUAUUAUUGAGCUUGUUAAUGGAGGGGGUAAAGAAAUAAAAUUUGGUUAAUGAGUG
This is a long non-coding RNA of Solanum dulcamara, 480 nucleotides long. RefSeq lists it as uncharacterized. The record is from RefSeq and is a predicted model, not a curated record. NCBI's taxonomy places the organism in Eukaryota, Viridiplantae, Streptophyta, Magnoliopsida, Solanales, Solanaceae. The transcript is spliced from 3 exons.